Molecule: ribosomal RNA, 461 nt
Filed under: uncultured bacterium
Lineage: Bacteria
Description: partial 16S ribosomal RNA
Rfam family: Bacterial small subunit ribosomal RNA
Source: RNAcentral
CCUACGGGAGACAGCAGUGAGGAAUAUUGGUCAAUGGGCGGAAGCCUGAACCAGCCAAGUAGCGUGCGGGAUGAAGGCCCUACGGGUCGUAAACCGCUUUUGCACGGGGAGCAACGGUGUCCUUGCGAGGGCCCGAUGCGAGUACCCGGAGCAAAAGCAUCGGCUAACUCCGUGCCAGCAGCCGCGGUAAUACGGAGGAUGCGAGCGUUAUCCGGAUUUAUUGGGGUUAAAGGGUGCGUAGGCGGGCUGUUAAGUCAGCGGUCAAAUGUCGGGGCUCAACCCCGGCCUGCCGUUGAAACUGGCGGCCUAGAGUGGGCGAGAAGUAGGCGGAAUGCGUGGUGUAGCGGUGAAAUGCAUAGAUAUCACGCAGAACUCCGAUUGCGAAGGCAGCAUACCGGAGCCCGACUGACGCUGAGGCACGAAAGCGUGGGUAUCGAACAGGAUUAGAUACCCGGGUAGUC